GUUUCUCUUUCUCCAAUUUCUUCUAGUAUAAAUUUUUUCUAGUAUCAAAUAUCUGCUCGCAUUGUUUCAAGAGAUUUUAGAGCUUUAUAAUCCUCACUGCAAUUCACCAAAUCUGCAAGUUCUCACUUUUCUUUCCUACUUCCAUAUCUUUUAUUUCUUUCUUUUCCUAUUUCCUAAUUUAUUUUCCUUAUAAUUUGAUCUUCAGUUUUGAUUCAGUGUAGCUUUUAUCUAAAUUGUGAUUGAAAAUUUAUCAGGAUAUUUUCAAUGGCUUCCAUGAACAACGAAAGAGCCUCAUCAUCUUCCUCUUCCUCCCAUCGAUUGACAUACGAAGUAUUCCUUAGUUUUUGAGGUGAGGACACCCUCAAUGGUUUUACAAGCCAUUUAUAUACUACGUUGGAUCAAAAGGGCAUUUACACCUUUAUAUACUACGUAUGGUAUAUAAGAAAGGCAAUGAAGAUGUCAAUAGAAGUAUGGCUUAGUGUAGCAACAAUAGCAACAUUCCUUAUAAGGGUUUGGAUGUUCUCCUUCAUAAAUUCAGCUAUGCCAAGCAAACCCGUGAUGACUAUGAUGGAGUUGGACCUAAUGGAGAAGGAAGCUCUAACGAUGUACCACACCCAAAACGGAAUGUGACCAAAACGGAUUGUGAGGAGUCAAUUGAGUACAGAGAAUGUGGUGAGGAAUUAAGCAACUGGGAGGAAUCUAGUGAAAGUGACCAGGAAGGUUAAUCAACUUUUCUCUCUACAUUACCUGCAAACAACCAUGUAGAAAAGGUUGAAAAAUGGAGAAGGUAACAGUUGGAGCUAUGCCAGAAAGCUUUGGAGGAUAUAAUUUUUUAUUUGGGGCAGGUUGUGGGAAGACCCACAUUUCUGUACUGCUUAUACAUGAGCUGAGUCCCUUAAUAAGGAAUCCCCAGAAGAACAUAUGCAUCUUUCUCGCCCAUACAGUGGCUCUGAUUGAGCAGGUAAGGUACUAUUUAUCUUGUUUGAUUUUGUAAUUUGAUGUUUAGUUUAAAGUUGUAUUUAAGUUGGAGACAAUUUUUGUAGUUUAUAUUGCUGAUUCAUUGCACAAUAAUGGAGUGGUGUUCUCCUUGGCUUGGCUGAAGUGGUAGGUGUGCAGGCCUUGAUAUGGGGGUUAGGCUAUAGGUUUUCAGUGCUCAUGUAUGCAAUU
Molecule: long non-coding RNA, 1167 nt
Organism: Quercus robur (English oak)
Lineage: Eukaryota; Viridiplantae; Streptophyta; Magnoliopsida; Fagales; Fagaceae
Exons: 3
Source: RefSeq, a predicted model, not a curated record